AGCGAACGCUGGCGGCAGGCCUAACACAUGCAAGUCGAGCGCCCAGCAAUGGGAGCGGCAGACGGGAUAGUAACACGUGGGAACGUACCUUUCAGUUCGGAACAACCCAGGGAAACUUGGGCUAAUACCGAAUACGUCCGUAAGGAGAAAGAUUUAUCGCUGAAAGAUCGGCCCGCGUCUGAUUAGCUAGUUGGUGAGGUAAUGGCUCACCAAGGCGACGAUCAGUAGCGGUCUGAGAGGAUGAUCAGCAUCACUGGGACUGAGACACGGCCCAGACUCCUACGGGAGGCAGCAGUGGGGAA
Molecule: ribosomal RNA, 302 nt
Filed under: uncultured bacterium
Lineage: Bacteria
Description: bacterial SSU rRNA
Rfam family: Bacterial small subunit ribosomal RNA
Source: RNAcentral